Gossypium arboreum is the source of this 463-nucleotide long non-coding RNA. RefSeq lists it as uncharacterized. The record is from RefSeq and is a predicted model, not a curated record. NCBI's taxonomy places the organism in Eukaryota, Viridiplantae, Streptophyta, Magnoliopsida, Malvales, Malvaceae. The transcript has 2 exons.
UCCCAUUUGAGGUAACUAAAAGCAAAUUUUAUCAUCUUACUUAGACCUAUAAUAAUAGAUCAUUUACUCACUUACCUCUGACCUUCCUAUGAAAACCCAGCAUAUGACACCUCAAGACCGAAGCUAAGGGUCUGCUAUACAUAAGACCCAAAGCUUGGAGCCUCUUUCUCCCUCUCUCUCAUAUCCUCUCAUUAUCUCCCCUCUUCCAACGCCUUGAUCCACAGCUCCUCACUUUGUAGUAAACAAGCUCACAAUACCACGUCGAACCAGCAAGCCAGAGUUGUCACUAAAAAGUAUCCCACCCUCGACUCUGUUAUUCUACUGUGAUGUUAUUUUGAUGCAUAAAAUUUAUAUACCUACAAUGCAUCAAAUAUUUUUCUAUUUUCUUUUCGAAAACUGCCAAAUACAUUAAUUGUUUUUAUGCCUGUGAAAAAUCCGAUUGAUUCCAAGUUUAUCAUAAAAA